Molecule: ribosomal RNA, 483 nt
Filed under: uncultured bacterium
Lineage: Bacteria
Description: partial 16S ribosomal RNA
Rfam family: Bacterial small subunit ribosomal RNA
Source: RNAcentral
GACGAACGCUGGCGGCGUGCUUAACACAUGCAAGUCGAACGAGAAAGCCCUUCGGGGUGAGUACAGUGGCGAACGGGUGAGUAACACGUGGGCAACCUGCCCCGGAGAGCGGGACAACCCGAGGAAACUCGGGCUAAUACCGCAUAAUGCGUCUCCACUUAAGUGGAGCCGCCAAAUGGUAGCUUCGGCCUCCGCUCUGGGAUGGGCCCGCGCCGGAUUAGCUAGUUGGUUGGGGUAACGGCCCACCAAGGCGACGAUCCGUAGCUGGUCUGAGAGGACGAUCAGCCACACUGGGACUGAGACACGGCCCAGACUCCUACGGGAGGCAGCAGUGGGGAAUAUUGGACAAUGGGCGCAAGCCUGAUCCAGCCAUGCCGCGUGAGUGAUGAAGGCCUUAGGGUUGUAAAGCUCUUUCGUCCGGGACGAUAAUGACGGUACCGGAAGAAGAAGCCCCGGCUAACUUCGUGCCAGCCGCCGCCGUAA